RNAcentral lists this ribosomal RNA (636 nucleotides) under Triticum aestivum (bread wheat). RNAcentral describes it as "partial small subunit ribosomal RNA". The record is from RNAcentral. Lineage: Eukaryota; Viridiplantae; Streptophyta; Magnoliopsida; Poales; Poaceae.
AUGCUAGGCUUGCUUCAGCCGCUGCCCGUGCCCACGGAGCCAUGGCACGACCUAACCAUGGACUUCAUCGAGGGAUUGCCGGCGUCUGAGGGCUACGAGGUCAUCAUGGUUGUCGUCGACCGCUUCACCAAGUACGCACAUUUCGUGCCUCUCCGCCAUCCCUUCACGGCUGCAACGGUGGCACGUGCCUUCUGGGACAAUAUCAUCAAGCUCCAUGGCGUUCCUCACUCCAUCGUCUCCGACCGGGACUGUAUCUUCACCAGCAACAUGUGGCGUGCCAUUCUGGAUGCUGCUGGCACCAAACUGAGCUACUCCACGGCGUACCACUCACAAACCGACGGCCAGAGCGAGCGUGUGAACCAGUGUCUGGAGAUGUACCUGCGCUGCGCCGUCCAUGAUACACCAUCCAAGUGGCGCAAGUGGCUCUCGACAGCGGAAUUCUGGUACAAUACUACCUAUCAUUCCUCGCUGAAUACCUCACCCUUUCAGGCACUGUAUGGGAAGGAACCCAAUUUUGGAGGACUACCGACGCUCGCCGCACAAUUGCCAGCAGAAACGAGCUCAGAGCUGGACUGGGCCACGCAUACAGACGCCCUCCGGGCACAACUCGCGCGCGCCCAGAAUCGUGUCAAAUAG